RNAcentral lists this ribosomal RNA (373 nucleotides) under uncultured organism. Its description in RNAcentral is "partial 16S ribosomal RNA". It matches the Rfam family "Bacterial small subunit ribosomal RNA", at positions 527 to 896 of the family's 1533-position model. The record is from RNAcentral.
GUAGGUGGCAAGCGUUGUCCGGAAUUAUUGGGCGUAAAGCGCGCGCAGGCGGUUCUUUAAGUCUGAUGUGAAAGCCCACGGGCUCAACCGUGGAGGGUCAUUGGAAACUGGAGAACUUGAGUACAGAAGAGGAAAGCGGAAUUCCACGUGUAGCGGUGAAAUGCGUAGAGAUGUGGAGGAACACCAGUGGCGAAGGCGGCUUUCUGGUCUGUAACUAACGCUGAGGCGCGAAAGCGUGGGGAGCAAACAGGAUUAGAUACCCUGGUAGUCCACGCCGUAAACGAUGAGUGCUAAGUGUUAGGGGGUUUCCGCCCCUUAGUGCUGCAGCUAACGCAUUAAGCACUCCGCCUGGGGAGUACGGCCGCAAAGGCUG